Molecule: transfer RNA, 63 nt
Filed under: Vargula tsujii
Lineage: Eukaryota; Metazoa; Arthropoda; Ostracoda; Myodocopida; Cypridinidae
Description: tRNA-Cys
Rfam family: tRNA
About the family: Transfer RNA (tRNA) molecules are approximately 80 nucleotides in length. Their secondary structure includes four short double-helical elements and three loops (D, anti-codon, and T loops).
Source: RNAcentral
GGCUUUAUGGUUUAAUCGUAAAAUAUUAGGCUGCAAUCCUAAAGUUGCUACCGGCUAAAGCUU